CACAUCCAUAAGAUAUUAUCUAUCGCUCUUUGUCUCUCCAAUUUCUAAAAUGGCCCAGCUGGACCUGGUCCAGUUUUUAUGUGGAGCAAGAGAAAAACAAAAACCAAAGAGGAAAUAUAUAAGGAAUAUAGCAUUUAGAUGGAUAUAUGGAUAUAUAUCUUCAAUUUUCCUCCAACCACCGCUCUCUUCCUAUCUCCAAAAC
Molecule: unclassified non-coding RNA, 202 nt
Filed under: Hevea brasiliensis (rubber tree)
Lineage: Eukaryota; Viridiplantae; Streptophyta; Magnoliopsida; Malpighiales; Euphorbiaceae
Source: RNAcentral